AUUGAACGCUGGCGGCAGGCCUAACACAUGCAAGUCGAACGGUAACAGGAAACAGCUUGCUGUUUCGCUGACGAGUGGCGGACGGGUGAGUAAUGUCUGGGAAACUGCCUGAUGGAGGGGGAUAACUACUGGAAACGGUAGCUAAUACCGCAUAACGUCGCAAGACCAAAGAGGGGGACCUUCGGGCCUCUUGCCAUCGGAUGUGCCCAGAUGGGAUUAGCUAGUAGGUGGGGUAACGGUUCACCUAGGCGACGAUCCCUAGCUGGUCUGAGAGGAUGACCAGCCACACUGGAACUGAGACACGGUCCAGACUCCUACGGGAGGCAGCAGUGGGGAAUAUUGCACAAUGGGCGCAAGCCUGAUGCAGCCAUGCCGCGUGUAUGAAGAAGGCCUUCGGGUUGUAAAGUACUUUCAGCGGGGAGGAAGGGAGUAAAGUUAAUACCUUUACUCAUUGACGUUACCCGCAGAAGAAGCACCGGCUAACUCCGUG
Molecule: ribosomal RNA, 490 nt
Filed under: uncultured bacterium
Lineage: Bacteria
Description: partial 16S ribosomal RNA
Rfam family: Bacterial small subunit ribosomal RNA
Source: RNAcentral